GGUGAUGAAUCUAACCAACCAACAUCUGAUAGGGAAUCUAACCAACCCACAACAAUAACAUCUGCUAGUGAAUCUGAGCAACAGACAACACCAACAUCUAAGAAUGAUAACUCGAUGUCUGCUAUAAUUGGUGGAGCUGUAGGAGGAUUAAUUGUGAUAAUCGUCAUCAUUAUUACCAUAGUAAUCUGUGUAAUACGUAGGAAGAACGGGGACAAUAUUUAUGACAGUCCAGAAGCUGUAGAGACUGAUCCUCAUCCCUACCAGAGCAUUCACAGAUAACAGAUCAGGGGAGAUAACUCUGACUAAUAAACAGAAUAAUCAAUUGGUUCAUCAGGAGAAUGAUCCAUAUACCAGUAUUAAUAAUGAUAUAAUUAAACCUAGCAACGGUAACCAAGGGAUGGACUAUCUGUAUAUUAGUUCUGAUGAUGUCACUGAUGACGUGGUGGUUGAUGAUAAACUAAAAGUAAAACUUCCGGUUGUGGCAGAAUACGCCCAGGUUAACCAAUCCAAUGCGAACAAAACCGCGAUUGAGAAAUUUAAGAUGGGACCAAAGGGUGAUAACUAUGCUGUUGCUAAUAUAGGGGGAAAAUGAUCAAUACUGAUAAACGUAAUAGGUAAUAGUGGAGAUCAAUACGCUGUUUUUAAUAAAGAGGUGAGGGGGUACAAAUAAUUAAUCAACCAUAAAGUUGAUUGUUUAAACGUUUGAAAAGGAAGUUUAACGUACACCAUCUUGUACAUAGUGAGACGAGUAGAUAUUUGUAUACCUUUGUUAAAAUAUAGUUUAUGGA
Molecule: long non-coding RNA, 788 nt
Organism: Patella vulgata (common limpet)
Lineage: Eukaryota; Metazoa; Mollusca; Gastropoda; Patellidae
Exons: 3
Source: RefSeq, a predicted model, not a curated record